This 450-nucleotide ribosomal RNA is filed under the name uncultured bacterium. Its description in RNAcentral is "partial 16S ribosomal RNA". It matches the Rfam family "Bacterial small subunit ribosomal RNA", at positions 354 to 796 of the family's 1533-position model. The record is from RNAcentral.
GUGGGGAAUAUUGGACAAUGGGCGAAAGCCUGAUCCAGCCAUGCCGCGUGUGUGAAGAAGGUCUUCGGAUUGUAAAGCACUUUAAGUUGGGAGGAAGGGCAGUAAGUUAAUACCUUGCUGUUUUGACGUUACCGACAGAAUAAGCACCGGCUAACUUCGUGCCAGCAGCCGCGGUAAUACGAAGGGUGCAAGCGUUAAUCGGAAUUACUGGGCGUAAAGCGCGCGUAGGUGGUUCAGCAAGUUGGAGGUGAAAUCCCCGGGCUCAACCUGGGAACUGCCUCCAAAACUACGGGGCUAGAGUACGGUAGAGGGUAGUGGAAUUUCCUGUGUAGCGGUGAAAUGCGUAGAUAUAGGAAGGAACACCAGUGGCGAAGGCGACUACCUGGACUGAUACUGACACUGAGGUGCGAAAGCGUGGGGAGCAAACAGGAGUAGAAACCCCUGUAGUCC